GGGCCCGUAGCUCAGCCUGGAGCUUUGAAGAGACUUACUCUUUGAGCGGGCAAUUAGAGCGCUGGUCUUAUAAGCCAGAGGUCUUGGGUUCAAAUCCCAGCGGGCCCA
RNAcentral lists this transfer RNA (108 nucleotides) under Candidatus Woesearchaeota archaeon. RNAcentral describes it as "tRNA-Ile". It matches the Rfam family "tRNA". From Rfam's summary of the family: Transfer RNA (tRNA) molecules are approximately 80 nucleotides in length. Their secondary structure includes four short double-helical elements and three loops (D, anti-codon, and T loops). The record is from RNAcentral. Lineage: Archaea; Nanobdellati; Candidatus Woesearchaeota.